RNAcentral lists this transfer RNA (64 nucleotides) under Neobenedenia melleni. Its description in RNAcentral is "tRNA-Ala". Lineage: Eukaryota; Metazoa; Platyhelminthes; Monogenea; Capsalidea; Capsalidae. The record is from RNAcentral.
AGUGAUAUAGUUUAAUUAAAAUAAUUCUUUUGCAUAGAAUAGAUAGGAUUUAUCCUUAUUGUUA